GGACGUAUGUCAGCUUGCUUUCAUAGCUCAGUUGGUUAGAGCACCCGUUUAGUAAGCGGGAGGUCUUGAGUUCGACUCUCAAUGAAAGCAG
This 91-nucleotide transfer RNA is filed under the name Helianthus annuus (common sunflower). RNAcentral describes it as "tRNA-Thr". The stretch from base 17 to 90 matches the Rfam family "tRNA". Rfam says of the family: Transfer RNA (tRNA) molecules are approximately 80 nucleotides in length. Their secondary structure includes four short double-helical elements and three loops (D, anti-codon, and T loops). The record is from RNAcentral. Lineage: Eukaryota; Viridiplantae; Streptophyta; Magnoliopsida; Asterales; Asteraceae.